This 429-nucleotide ribosomal RNA is filed under the name bacterium. RNAcentral describes it as "partial 16S ribosomal RNA". It matches the Rfam family "Bacterial small subunit ribosomal RNA", at positions 355 to 776 of the family's 1533-position model. The record is from RNAcentral.
UAGGGAAUCUUCGGCAAUGGGGGCAACCCUGACCGAGCAACGCCGCGUGAGUGAAGAAGGUUUUCGGAUCGUAAAGCUCUGUUGUAAGAGAAGAACGUGUGUGAGAGUGGAAAGUUCACACAGUGACGGUAACUUACCAGAAAGGGACGGCUAACUACGUGCCAGCAGCCGCGGUAAUACGUAGGUCCCGAGCGUUGUCCGGAUUUAUUGGGCGUAAAGCGAGCGCAGGCGGUUUAAUAAGUCUGAAGUUAAAGGCAGUGGCUUAACCAUUGUUCGCUUUGGAAACUGUUAAACUUGAGUGCAGAAGGGGAGAGUAGAAUUCCAUGUGUAGCGGUGAAAUGCGUAGAUAUAUGGAGGAACACCGGUGGCGAAAGCGGCUCUCUGGUCUGUAACUGACGCUGAGGCUCGAAAGCGUGGGGAGCAAACAGG